CUUUUUCUUCUCCUCCGCCCGAACCCCUCUCCUUCUCGUGCGAUUUGUGCCGAGUCUGCCGACGUCGCACCUCUUCUCGCGCGUUGCCCCACACCAGAUGCCGACUGCCCUUCCUUCUCAUCUCUUCUCCUAUUUCUUCCCCGCCGAACCUUUCCUUCUCCUCUUCUCAUCGCUGAACUUCCUCUUCUCUCCCAAGCCGCACGCUGCCGUCGACCACCUCUUCUCCUUCUCCUUCUCCCCUCUCCUCUUCGCGCAACCGCCAACCACCACCUGAUCGAGAGGCAAGCCUCGCCGGUCAGGGUCCGAUGCUGGCCAGUAGACCUCCAGCCAGCCAAGAGUCACCCUAACUCCGACAAAGAGGUGAAAAGGGUUUGCCCUUCUCUGCGUCGCCACCACCGCCUAGCUCCGAUGUCGCUGGAUCAGUGGUUUCCACCCAGGCCGCCGGCUAUGGAUCUGCUCCGCCUCCUAGCAGUGGCUACUACUCCUCUCUGUCACGAGACGUCGUGAUGCUGUUGAUUGCUGGCACUAGCUAAGGCGUAGCCGACGGUCACUGCUCUUCUAGCCAUAAGAAGAUCCAUAGUUGCGGCAAUGCUAUCUGAAUUUUGAUGACCACGGUAGACUGGUGAUCCUUGAGGUGGUGAGAGAUGAUGGACAGAGUUACUAUUGUUGGAUAAGGAGCCAAGCUAUGAGCCGUAGAGGACGUUGAUUUGAGAUGGGCGUCUCAACAUGGAGAUAGAUCAAUAUGGUCUAUAUUGAGGCGGGUACCUCUUGACUUAUCUUUUAUGAUAUUGUCACUUUGAUAUGCAUAGUAAUUUAUAGCUAGUAGCAAUGAUCAUACUUAGAUUUGCCCUUGGUAGGUCACUAUUUGAUACCUAUUGUAUGUCAUGUUUGUUGCCUGUUAUGUAUCCAUAUUUAUAACUCUUGAUUAUUGUCAUGUGUACCUUAGUUCCUAGAGAAAGUAACAUACUAGGCUUCACUGGUAUAGGACUAGUUUCUAGAUUUUAUUAUCUGGCAUGUGUACUUAGGUUGUUGAUACCUAAACCAUCGUCUGAUUUAUUUCCUUUUAGUGCAUUUUAUAUGGAGGGUAUACGGUUUAUAUCUACAUGUUUAGUGUCAUGCACCAUCUUGCAUGAUUGUAUACUGGCGAUAGUCAGCUCCAUUAUUGUUGAGCGCAUCACCAGUUACAUGAUCUGCACACAUAACCACUCAUGAGUUAGUGGUACAUCAGACAGGGUGUGUGUCGUUUGCUCUGUCAGGGCUCCGCUCAUCGGCUCCUGGGUAGCGAUGACUGUAGCGUGUAGAGGGCAGGGAUCCCUCCCCUAGGAUACAGGGAGAUGAGAGCUUAGGCUCCCCCACUAUGUUGGGGUAGGAGGAUAGGCGUACUCCGACAGCAUCCUGUCCACUCGGUCACUCAGGAGCAGUGAUGACAAAGUGCACAGUUGUCAUAGCCCUACCCACUCGGUCUCACCAUCACGUGUGAGAUGGUUGACUGGUGUCAGGGGUGACACAUGUCAUUUUUGCAUCAUAUGCAUUGAUUGCGUUUAUGGUUUGUGAUUGAUGCACUUUGUUUGCUGCAUUUUGGUGGUUGCAUAUGAUUGAUAUGCAUACAGGAGACAUGAGGUAUUUUGUCUAACGAUCGUAUGUUCCGGAUAGGAGGCCCUGGUGAGUACAGUUUCUUCAGCCUUUACAGUCUGCAUUUCCUACUUUAUUCAGGAAACUGUACUACAUGAUUAUUUCUGUUAGUUAUAUCUUACUAGGCAUGUCAGCUUGAUAUCCGCUGAGUUCUUUGAACUCACACCGUUGAGCUAUUUCUAUUUCAGGUAGCAGGUAGAUUUUUAGAGUCGCUUGGAGUAUCCUGUCUGCCGAUUCCCACGUCACAUCCGAAGACCACUUCGAGUUUCAUUUACGCUUUUCGUGUAUUUGGUAUUUAGUGUUGUUAUUGUGUUUUGU
Long non-coding RNA from Zingiber officinale, 1950 nucleotides. RefSeq lists it as uncharacterized. Lineage: Eukaryota; Viridiplantae; Streptophyta; Magnoliopsida; Zingiberales; Zingiberaceae. The transcript has 3 exons. The record is from RefSeq and is a predicted model, not a curated record.